Molecule: non-coding RNA, 60 nt
Organism: Nipponia nippon (crested ibis)
Lineage: Eukaryota; Metazoa; Chordata; Aves; Pelecaniformes; Threskiornithidae
Source: Rfam
UGUAAACAUCCUACACUCUCAGCUGUGGAAACUAAGAAAGCUGGGAGGAGGCUGUUUACU